RNAcentral lists this long non-coding RNA (732 nucleotides) under Triticum aestivum (bread wheat). Its description in RNAcentral is "long non-coding RNA (TAES_LNC020121)". Lineage: Eukaryota; Viridiplantae; Streptophyta; Magnoliopsida; Poales; Poaceae. The record is from RNAcentral.
UCGCGGGUCUCCUUGUAUGGAGAUUGAGACGCUUCAUCAUACUUUGACACUCCAGAGAGUGUCGAUCCACAGAGGGGUCUUCUUCAGACAUGGUGCAUACAGCAGCAGUAGCAGCAGCAGCAUCGAUCCAUCGUCUUGGACUGCAACAACGCAAAGAGAAAAGAAAGCUUACUCGAAUUACUCCAAUACUCCUCCAUCAUGUACAACAAGCAAGCAUACAACAAGCAAAAAUCUUCUUUUGUUCCCUACAAAUGUACAGCAAGCAAUCAAGUUACCUACAAAUGUACAGCAAGCAAGAAUGCAAGCAAGUCACUAGAGCAGUACUCCUUUUGUUCCCUUUGUUCCUCACAAGCAAAAAAGCAGAUCUGAAGCACAAGCACAAGCUUUAGUGAGCUCGGUAAAACUUCACUACUUGCACAUCACUAGAAGCAUAUGUCAAUGGAGUAAAAUUCAGUAAACAUCACAAGGAGCAGCCAAAAGUUCACAGGAAAAAUUCAGUGAACAGCACUGCAAGCAAAAUUCAGUAAUGUUUACUCCAUCACAAGAACUUUACUGGACUUGAGCUCCAUCAUAACUUCACAAGAUCUAAAGCAGCAGCAUCACUAGAGCAGAACUACUACACCAACACCAUCACUAGAGCAGAAAUACAGUAGCAUCAUCGGAGCAGAACCACUCCAUCGCAGCAUCACUUAAGUAGCAGCAUCAGUACAGAGGACAAGCACAAGGACUCAC